CGAACGGCAAGUGGAGUAGCAAUACAACACCUAGAGUGACGUAAGGGUGCGUAACAAGUAUGCAAUCUGCCCUCAACAGGAGGAUAGCUCCCCGAAAGGGGAAUUAACACUCCGUAAGAUCGUGUUGUGGCAUCACAAAGCGAUUAAAACUCCGGUGGUUGAGGAUGAGCAUGCUUCUGAUUAGCUAGUUGGUAGUGUAAUGGACUACCAAGGCGAUGAUCAGUAGGGGAACUGAGAGGUUGAUCCCCCACACUGGCACUGAGAUACGGGCCAGACUCCUACGGGAGGCAGCAGUAGGGAAUAUUGGUCAAUGGAUGCAAGUCUGAACCAGCCAUGCCGCGUGCAGGAAGAAGGCCUUCUGGGUCGUAAACUGCUUUUGCCAGGGGCUAAAAAGCCCAUGCGUGGGAAAUUGAAAGUACCUGGUGAAUAAGCCACGGCUAACUACGUGCCAGCAGCCGCGGUAAUACGUAGGUGGCAAGCGUUGUCCGGAUUUAUUGGGUUUAAAGGGUGCGUAGGCGGCCCUAUAAGUCAGUGCUGAAAUAUCCCGGCUUAACCGGGAGGGUGGCAUUGAUACUGUAGGGCUUGAGUGUAGUCGAGGUAGGCGGAAUUGACGGUGUAGCGGUGAAAUGCUUAGAUAUCGUCAAGAACACCGAUAGUGUAGACAGCUUACUAGGCUACAACUGACGCUGAGGCACGAAAGUGUGGGGAUCAAACAGGAUUAGAUACCCUGGUAGUCCACACUGUAAACGUUGAUUACUCGAUGUUGGCGAUACACAGUC
RNAcentral lists this ribosomal RNA (779 nucleotides) under uncultured bacterium. RNAcentral's name for it is "bacterial SSU rRNA". It matches the Rfam family "Bacterial small subunit ribosomal RNA", at positions 63 to 838 of the family's 1533-position model. The record is from RNAcentral.